AACGGGCGGACAGCGGCGUGCAGGGGCCUGGGCAGAGGCGCGCGCGGGGUGUCCGGGUCGUGGUGCUGAACGGUGCUAAGGAGCGGCCAGGGAGGGGGCUCGGGGCGCCGGGAGUGGUGCUGGGGGGCAGGGGGUCAGGCGCCAGGGGAGCCAAGGGCCGGUGGCGCUGGGAGUUAGGCGCGCAGGGGCUAGGAGGCAGCAGGCGUGCACCAGGGAGGAAAGAAGAAGAAGAAAGGAGAAGGAAGAAGAAAGAGAGGAAGAAAGAAAAGGGAAAAAGGGAGACCGGGAGAGGGAGAAAAAUGAAUGGAAGGAUGUGGACCGGAUUAAGGAAAAAGAAAAAUUAAAGAGUAAAAAUAAUCCUUUUAUUAUUUCUUAAAUAAUAAUCCUUUUAUUUUUUAAAUUUCUAAUAAACUCAAAUUUAUAAACAAAUGUUAAGUAUGCCAUUCAUCUAUUCAAACAAUCCCUAUAGUAAAGGACAACAUUUGAUUUAUCACAGCCAUUCCUAAAGACACAGGAGAGACUGUUUUGCCAAACUUCAGCUUCACCAGAGAAGCUACUUCACCGGAGCCGCCGCAGCCGUCCCGUUUCAACCAUAGCCACAGUCCUACCAAACAGGAUCUAAGCUACCGUGG
This 632-nucleotide long non-coding RNA is filed under the name Setaria viridis. RNAcentral's name for it is "long non-coding RNA (SVIR_LNC008143)". The record is from RNAcentral. Lineage: Eukaryota; Viridiplantae; Streptophyta; Magnoliopsida; Poales; Poaceae.